CUAAGGAACCGAAGUACUUGAUUCCAUGCUUCCAAGAAAAGCGUCUAGAAAGAGAAGUAGUGCCCGUACCGCAAACCGACACAGGUAGGUGAGAAGAGAAUCCUAAGGCCGGCGGAAGAAUCACAGUUAAGGAACUAGGCAAAUUGACCCCGUAACUUCGGGAUAAGGGGUGCCUGCGAGAGCAGGUCGCAGAGAAUAGGCCCAAGCAACUGUUUAGCAAAAACACAGGUCUCUGCUAAAGCGAAAGCUGAUGUAUAGGGGCUGACGCCUGCCCGGUGCUGGAAGGUUAAGGGGAACACUUAGCGCAAGCGAAGGUGUGAACUUAAGCCCCAGUAAACGGCGGCCGUAACUAUAACGGUCCUAAGGUAGCGAAAUUCCUUGUCAGGUAAGUUCUGACCCGCACGAAUGGCGUAAUGAUUUGGGCACUGUCUCAACUGUGAAUCCGGCGAAGUUGUAGUGCGAGUGAAGAUGCUCGCUACCCGCGAUUGGACGGAAAGACCCCGUAGAGCUUUACUGUAGCUUAGCAUUGAAUUUCGGUAUUGUCUGUACAGGAUAGGUGGGAGACUAGGAAACCAGAGCGUCAGCUUUGGCGGAGUCACCCUUGGGAUACCACCCUGAUAGUACUGAGGUUCUAACUGGAUGCCAUGAAUCUGGUGACAGGACAUUGUUAGGUGGGCAGUUUGACUGGGGCGGUCGCCUCCGAAAGUGUAACGGAGGCGCCCAAAGGUUCCCUCAGAACGGUCGGAAAUCGUUCGAAGAGUGCAAAGGCAGAAGGGAGCCUGACUGCGACACCCACAAGUGGAGCAGGGACGAAAGUCGGGCUUAGUGAUCCGGUGGUACCUCGUGGGAGGGCCAUCGCUCAACGGAUAAAAGCUACCUCGGGGAUAACAGGCUGAUCUCCCCCAAGAGUCCACAUCGACGGGGAGGUUUGGCACCUCGAUGUCGGCUCGUCGCAUCCUGGGGCUGAAGUAGGUCCCAAGGGUUGGGCUGUUCGCCCAUUAAAGCGGCACGCGAGCUGGGUUCAGAACGUCGUGAGACAGUUCGGUCCCUAUCCGUCGCGGGCGUAGGAAAUUUGAGAGGAGCUGUCCUUAGUACGAGAGGACCGGGAUGGACUGACCUCUGGUGCACCAGUUGUUCCGCCAGGAGCACAGCUGGGUAGCUAAGUCGGGAAGGGAUAAACGCUGAAAGCAUCUAAGCGUGAAGCCCACCUCAAGAUGAGAUUUCCCAUAGCGUAAGCUAGUAAGACCCCUUGAAGAACACAAGGUUGAUAGGUCAGAGGUGUAAGUGUGGUAACAUAUUUAGCUGACUGAUACUAAUAGGUCGAGGGCUUGAC
RNAcentral lists this ribosomal RNA (1333 nucleotides) under metagenome. RNAcentral describes it as "bacterial LSU rRNA". It matches the Rfam family "Bacterial large subunit ribosomal RNA", at positions 1577 to 2925 of the family's 2925-position model. The record is from RNAcentral.